Molecule: transfer RNA, 92 nt
Filed under: Streptomyces capillispiralis
Lineage: Bacteria; Bacillati; Actinomycetota; Actinomycetes; Kitasatosporales; Streptomycetaceae
Description: tRNA-Thr
Source: RNAcentral
UCGGCGGUGGGGGACGCGGUGGUCUCGGAACCGCUGGUGUCGGCCCCCGCGAUCGCGUCGUCGCCCUUGGAGUUCGCGUCUUCACCUCCGCA